Myotis lucifugus (little brown bat) is the source of this 76-nucleotide non-coding RNA. The record is from Rfam. NCBI's taxonomy places the organism in Eukaryota, Metazoa, Chordata, Mammalia, Chiroptera, Vespertilionidae.
GAGACACCCUUAUGGGGCAGGACUUGCUUCAGUGGGGCUUUGGUGCUCACUGAGUCUUCCCCCUGAGUGUGUCUCU